This 1465-nucleotide long non-coding RNA is filed under the name Felis catus (domestic cat). Its description in RNAcentral is "lncRNA (ENSFCAG00000050212.1)". The record is from RNAcentral. Lineage: Eukaryota; Metazoa; Chordata; Mammalia; Carnivora; Felidae.
GAUCUUGAAAAGGCGAGUUUGGAAAUAAUAUACUUGGCAGAAGGAAAAUAAAUCUCAGAGCCAGGCAGCUUUUCUGCAGCAGGUCCCCGAUGAGAGUGCCUUCCCUCAACUUGUGCACAAAUUACAUAGGAAGUGACUGUGGUCUCUGUGAGGAUUCAUCUCCUGCCUCAGACCAGCACCCGCCCGCCACCAAUGCGCCCACACAGCUGGGCAAGCCACUUUAACAAAGGGUCCCUGAUAUGCAAAUUACACACACCCAGCUGCACAUUUCCAAAUGAGUCAUUGUUCACCUGCUGGCUCCUGCCUCACCAAAUCCCUCUUGCGGCAUGUGUUAUGCAUUCCCCAUCUCCUCUCCCUUCCCUCCUAGUCCAACCGGGAAGGUCUGUGGCUUCUGGAAUGGCAAGGAAAAGGCUGCAACCAGAGGGGGCCGGGCGGGGCGGUGGGACGAGAGCUGUAAAUUUCUAAGACAGAAAGAGGAAGAAGAAGGUACAGCCUGGUGAAAGAGCACCAGAGAACAUGUCCAUGUUUUACAGUUUGGUCACGGUAUAAACGGGGAUUGAGCGGAACUUCCAGGAGUUGCACAGAGCUGGGUGAAAAAGGAUCAUGUGAACUCUGCUUAGGAUCAUGUGAAAAGGCAAGAGGGACAAAUGGCCAAGAGAUGACCGGUUCCAUGGAGGAAAUGCAGGGCCAUUUCCUGGGCCCCACUGGGCACAAGGUGAGCGUUCAGCCCAGCCGUUAGGGAGGGUUCCCUGUUAUUAAAGCCUAUGUGGAUAAGGCAACUCAGUGACAUUAAUUUAGGAAAGUCGCAUCCAGAACUCUCUGAAAUUAUUUGAAAGUCCAGUUGUGGAGCCAUUUGAAGAAUCAAACCUCUUUUGAUUCUUUUGGAUGCAGCAGUUCAGACAAGGGAACUACCAGACGUGGAUCUCCCUCUGAGAGGUGGGUGACCCUGGCAAGCGCCUACACUCUCUAGAUGGUUUCAUGGUAAGGGACAAAUGUCUAUGUCUUUGAAUCAUCAUGAGGUUUUAGUAUAAUUUAAUCAAGACUCCACCAUAGCACCGAGCACAGAGAUGGCACCCAAGAAACAGUGGCCAAUGGUAUUCUCUGCUAAAAUAUUUGUCACCGCAGACACUUGGAUUCUGUUCCAAAAGGCUCUUCACUGAGUAGGAAGAGACCCUCUGGUGGGGCCACGAGAGAGGCCCUCAUCCCAUUGCUGAUUCAAGGCAGGUAAAGUGGAGAUACUUUGCAACCUAGUUUACAAAGUCAAGACAUCAGCUCACAAAAGGCCAGAAUCACCGUGAGGGCAAUGGUUUAACACUUAGAUAUUAUAUUCCCCUAACUCAAAACAUCUUUCUUAAAAGAAAGGAGAGUUCAGUUCUAGGCUCCUACUCCUGAGAUUUUUAUUUAAAGAAUACCCCAUCUUUACUCGCAGCUGAGAGGCUGACGAUUAAAAAUUAGCCACUGUAUA